UCCCUGCUGGCGCAAUGGUAGCGCGCAAGACUUCUAAGUAGAGUAUCUACGUUUGAAUUGAUCUUGAGGCUGUAGGUUCGAGACCUACGUAGGGAG
Sclerotinia nivalis is the source of this 96-nucleotide non-coding RNA. Lineage: Eukaryota; Fungi; Ascomycota; Leotiomycetes; Helotiales; Sclerotiniaceae. The record is from the annotation of a GenBank genome assembly.